UGUACAAUAGUUUUAAUUGAGGAACAUUUUGUUAUUAAGCUGUUAUUUACUGAAAGUUUCGCCUUAUGAUACUUUUUGGUGAUCAUGUGAGGUUGGACAUCAAACUGUCUGGUGCUUAGUACUCAAAAGUUGGGAAAAGAUUUUGAUUUUGGGGUAACACUUUUAAAUGAAAAUGUUGCAUCAAUUACUCACCCUGAUGUUGUUUCGAAUUCGAAUUGUGUUCAUCUUCUGAACACAAAGAAAGAUAUUUUUGAUGAAAUCCGAGAGCUUUCUGGCCAUGCCUAGACAGCAAGGCAUAUGCAAGUGAUGCUGUUGACAUAGAACACUGCGCCUUGUUUACAUGCAAAGGAAUGCACACGCAUGGUAAUCUCGUUAAUGGCGGUGGACAGUCCCGUGAAAGAAGAAAUUGCUGAAUAAAGACAUAUUUGUUGUUGUUUUUUUGCACACCAACAAGUGUUCUCGUAAGUACAUAAAAUUAAGUUUGAACCACUGAUGUCACAUGGACUAUUUUAACAAUGUCCUCACUAUGUUUCUGUAUCUUGACAGUGGUAGUAACCUUCCUGUCUAUGGAGUGUCAAAAAAGCUCUCUGAUUUCCUCAGAAAUAUUGUAAUUUGUGUUCUGAAGAUGAACUAAGUUAUUUUGGGUUUAGAAUGAUGUAAGGGUGAGUAAUUAAUGACAGAAUUUAGAAUUUUGGGUGAACUAUCCCUUUAAGAGUAACUACACCAAGUUAUAUUUCCUAACCUAUCUGCUGUGUUUACACUUUUCAAAUGUUGAAGUCAUGAUUCUUGCAUGAAAAACACAUUCACAACGAUUUAACUAACAUUUGAAAAUGAACCAUAGAGUAGAAACGAACACUUCAAGGUGGAAUAACACAACAAACUACCUACAAGUGAUCCUUCCUGAUCUAGUGCAUGUUUGCAUGUGUCCGUCCACUUGUGUGAGAAGUGUUACGGAUAUUAAACGGAUCUUUGGUGUCCGUCUACUUCCUCAGCACGGAAGGACGGUCGUUACCGGGAUCCUCCUCCCACACCGCCCGGCUACACGGCACUGAGUAUCACAGACGUAACUGAGGGUACGGCUCACUCGGGCAGGAGACCACCAGACUACACCACCGCCUUGCAGCGCUCCCGUCUUGUCACACAUUCCCCCGACUCCCACCACCCCCCAGCUGCGGGAAAACCCACCCAUUCGCUGGACCCCCGUGGCCGAGACGAGGAGGAGCCAGAGGAGGUGGAAGAGGAGGGUGAGUGCUUGUCUCCCAAACUCAGAGCUCAAAGGAGGAGAGGUCCACACACAGCAGUUCCCCCCAGGCCAUGAGUUACAUACACCACCCCAACAGGAAGAGGAUGAACAGGUGUCUGCUGUUUGAAAAGGGGGCGACACUGGCUGCACUGCUGCAUUAACUGAUGGCCCAUAUGGGGCAUUCACGGGUCCGACAGACAGACCAUCCAGUCUACAUUUUGACGGCACUGCCUCUCUCCCUCCUCAAUGAUGAAUUCAUCUCCCUGCCCUGCCUUAAUGCAUCAUGGGGGGUUUAACGCCCUGCAUGCUAAGAAAUACUGUGAAGAAAGAAGGUGUGCAAAAAAAUAACUUAUUUGGCACUUUGGAGAAUGGAAAAAUGUACUGAACUGAAACUCGAACGAAGCGCUUUAACAUUCAUACACACACACAAACACUCACACACACACAAAACUACUGUUAACGGUUAUCUUUAAACAUUUCCUUCUGCUUAAAGGACACAUGAACGUUAGUAGUUCCCCUCAGCACUUUUUAACUGUUUUUAAGGGGUAAAAUGAUCCACACAAUCAACAUUUCAGCCACUGGAUUCUGGACAUGCAGUUUGGAUGCCACAGAAGGCUUGACUAUAACUUAACUCCACUCCUUUUCACUUCAGUCCUCACGAAAACACGCAUAUCUGUGUGGUUCAAUAUAGCAGUAUUAUAUUUGCAGGAGCACCACUUGAAGGACAUCUCUUCUGCUGGAUGACUACAAAUGGAGUUCACUUUGACUCCUGACAUACGUAGCACAGCGAUUUAAUACGGAAGGCGCUUUGUGAGAGGAAAUGAUGCUAAGUGAAGCCUUAGUGAGUGAUUUUAUUGUUUUUUUUUUAAGCUGCAGUGGGUUUGAGAGCUGUAAGAAAACAUCAAGUUUGGUCAAAGGCCUCAUAAAAAAAACAUGAAAUUACAUAAAUUUACAUCUGUUGGUAAUCGAAGAGACAAAGUCCAUAAAAGUGAAUCAGUUCUGCUGCAAGAAGCUUUUAGUGAUGAAGAGGAAGUGUACAUGCUCAUCUUUGAUAUGACGCAGGUGGUUUUAUCAGUUCAGUGCCUCUCCAGCUUCAAAAGCAUUUGUUGUGGCACAACUUCAAGCCCCCUAUUGGUUAAAGUGAGAACUGCAGGCGACUCAAGCAAAUGGGGACGUUUUAUUCGGGUGCUACUUUCUUCCUCUCAUUCUGUGAAACCAUUAAGGCGGUGUGUGAAAGAUGGUGGCUUCUGUGUUAUUUUUUCUUUACGGUGGAUCAAGUCAUGCAUGUUUCUCCUGGAGCGGGCCUUGAACUAACUACCACUGCUGCACAACAGCUUUCACAAUCAUUCACAGGAACUGAACUGAUAUGUGCUUUUACACAAACCCACCCGGAGUCCACCAGUCAGAGCAGAACUGAACCGAUGGGAGCACGUCACUUUUAUUCUUUCAUUUUAAUCACUGAGUUAAGCUGAUCACAUUGAUCAGUAUAGUUAGAAACGAUAGACUGAAGAAGAAAAAAGUUUGCAGUGUUUUCCACUGUACCCUGUAACAUCACUACUUCAAUGUUGCUUUCUCUAGUUGCUUUGUUUGUUCGUUCGUUCGUUUGUUUGUUCGUUUGUAGGUUUUUGGCUCCCACACAACUUUUUUUUUUUUUUUUUUUUUUUUUUUUUAAUGGUUGCGGAUACAGUUGUUCACGUUCACGUUCACGUUUUGGCAAGCCAAAAUGAGUCACUUGUUUUUCAAAAUAAGUUGCACAAAUUGUACAAGCAUAAAUACAACAAGGUAAAUAGUAGUAGGUAGCUGUUCUGCUACUCUGUUCGAUAUGUGAUGUUUAGUGAGACGUGUACAUUUAGCUGGUGAAUAUUAUCUCUUUUUUGACUACUUUUACCUGUACGUCUUUUACAAAGACAAUUGGUGGAGUAUGUAUUUGUUCUUUUGUUUUUUUGUUUUUUUGCCUUUCUUUUUUUUUUUUUUUUUGUAUUUUUAAUACAAUAAUUGUAAAUAUUGGUUAUAUUUUUGUUGAAUUGUAGAAAUGUAUGAUGUUUAUGCCUCAACAUCCAGUUUAUAUGAAGCUGGUAAUCAAUAAAUUCGACAAAAAUCAAUCAACUUAUAGUUUUUAAAUGCUAUUAUUAUUAUUAUUAUUAUUAUUAUUAUUAUUAUUAUUAUUAUUAUUAUUGCUCUUCUUAUGUUGAUUCUGCAUUAAGGAUUUUGUUUUCAAACAUUGUUUUAAAUGGCCUUUGUCACCAUCUAGUGUUUGCACAAGAUAAGACAUGGAAGUAACUUGAAAUGUGUAUCUCAUACUUUUCUAACUGACAAAUGUAUGUUGGGGUUAAUAAAAGACAUCCGUAUCGUAUCUGCUGUUCAACACUAUGUGCUUUUUCAGUGUUACUUCAUCGAAUUUGAUGAACCAAAGUGGAUAAACUGGGUCAUCGAUACAGUGAUUACACAUUUGUCCUUAUUGGGCAUGAUGCAAAAAAACAAAAUUCUUCCAUUUGUGAUUUCUUGUACGUCUAAAUAUGUUUAGUGACGAACACAUGCAACAGAGAUCACUCCCGGCACUUUCCGGCACUUGCGCAGACUAAGCCAGAACGUGCGCUCACGUCACACACCAGGAAGCGUGAGCGCCCUCAGAUCACUUGGAUGUGUACAAGAGGUGACCAUAGACCUGCAUUAUAUGAGUGACAGACCAGAACGAUUCGACCUAAAAAUAUAAAAAUGGAAACUACUGCAGAAACAAAGACACCUACAUCUUGGAUGCCCUUGAGAAAAUGUGACCCUGGACCACAAAACCAGUCUGUGAUGAGUGGGACUGGGCCGAGAGCUGUGGGAACUGAACGAAGGCAGGUAGAGUAGGUUGAAGAGGAGCGACACCUGCACCACUCACCGGUCUCUAGUCCCAUGGAUUACAAUGUAUUUUAUUAAAUUAAAUUAGUUAAUUUUACUCAACUAAGUUUGUUCCACUUAACAAAAAGUUAUACUGAAUGAACCCAACAAUUGCUUAAUCUUAAGCAGAACUCAAAUUCAAUGUAUUACAGCAGAUUUCUAGUUCUCAGCAUGCAUUGCUUCUGCUUCUGUAAAGAGAGUUGUUGAGAAUGUUGAAAUGUUGUUGUUUUCACACAAAUGUAAGCAUUC
This is a long non-coding RNA of Carassius gibelio (silver crucian carp), 4375 nucleotides long. RefSeq lists it as uncharacterized. The transcript has 4 exons. NCBI's taxonomy places the organism in Eukaryota, Metazoa, Chordata, Actinopteri, Cypriniformes, Cyprinidae. The record is from RefSeq and is a predicted model, not a curated record.